RNAcentral lists this long non-coding RNA (432 nucleotides) under Monodelphis domestica (gray short-tailed opossum). RNAcentral describes it as "lncRNA (ENSMODG00000031554.2)". Lineage: Eukaryota; Metazoa; Chordata; Mammalia; Didelphimorphia; Didelphidae. The record is from RNAcentral.
AUGUCCUUUAUCAUAAAUUCAGAUGUAUCUGCACGUCCCAAGGAAUUCAUAGACUUCUCUGACUCAUCAGUUGGCAGCUCUAGUUCCUUUCCUGUCACAAGAAGACAGAAGACAGGCAUCGUCUUGGAGUCUAUAAAAAGCUCACCUCUACAGGAUGGUGACCAGCUGUUCUCCAUCUCAGCUGAAGACAGACCCAGAGACUGUGUUUAAAGUGAGCUUAGAGACAAGGAUGAAGUUCCCUGCAAGGUGUGGUUGAUCCCUGGAAGAGGGGAGCUUAACUAGGAGAGAUUCAAAUCUCCCUUUCUCCAAGGACCUAUAAAGCCAGCAGAGAUUCUUAUCUGCUGCACUGCAUAGGGGUGGUCUUGCCUACAGGCAGGGAGUUCUCCUAGAUGACUGCUUUAUGAUUCCUUAAAGCCCCCGUGCUCAUCAUUG